GGACUACCCGGGUAUCUAAUCCUGUUUGCUCCCCACGCUUUCGCGCCUCAGCGUCAAUGUCGGUCCAGAUAGCCGCCUUCGCCACCGGUGUUCUUCCCAAUAUCUACGAAUUUCACCUCUACACUGGGAAUUCCGCUAUCCUCUCCCGAAUUCAAGCAACCCAGUAUCAAAUGCAGUCCCCAGGUUAAGCCCAGGACUUUCACAUCUGACUUGGGUCGCCGCCUACGCGCCCUUUACGCCCAGUAAUUCCGAACAACGCUCGCCCCCUUCGUAUUACCGCGGCUGCUGGCAC
Molecule: ribosomal RNA, 292 nt
Filed under: uncultured bacterium
Lineage: Bacteria
Description: partial 16S ribosomal RNA
Source: RNAcentral